Potamilus streckersoni is the source of this 78-nucleotide non-coding RNA. Lineage: Eukaryota; Metazoa; Mollusca; Bivalvia; Unionida; Unionidae. The record is from the annotation of a GenBank genome assembly.
GAUCCGGUCGCCUAAUGGUUAGAGCGUCCGCCUCGGAUGCAUGGGAUCGUGGGUUCGAUCCCCGGUCUAGACAUAACA